Molecule: long non-coding RNA, 2037 nt
Organism: Solea solea (common sole)
Lineage: Eukaryota; Metazoa; Chordata; Actinopteri; Pleuronectiformes; Soleidae
Exons: 6
Source: RefSeq, a predicted model, not a curated record
CAAGCUGCGUAAAUGCGCACUCUGUUAAGACACUUUUGGGUGACCUGGGCACAGAGGGUGCGCCAACUCUCCAAAUCCAAAAUCAACAAAGAAAGACAAAGAAGUCAUUUUUGCGUGUGUGUGCGCGCAGGGACGCGUUUUGGCGCCUGGAGCCGAGCAGCCUGAGCCAGACAAGCCAGGAGGAGCCUCUCCCCGUGCCGCUGCGUCCCAGCCUGGGAUGUUGUGAGCCUGCAUGUCGCUGGAGACUAGAGGAGGAGUCCGGGAAGAGAAAGAGGAAAGUUUCUCUCAGGCUUUUGGGGAAAGCAGGGCAGGAAGCAGCUUGGCUCUCAGACAAUGGAACACAUCAAAAAGCACCAACCAGCCUCACCAACUUCUCUCUCUCUCUCCCACACACACACACACAAACACAGAGCAAGACAAACAGGACAUUCCAGCUGCCGGCUGCACCGGAUUCCUCGCCUUGGCUAAUCUGAAACGGAGAGUGAGACUGGGAGUGGAGCAGAGCAGAGAGGCAGGGUGAGAACUAUGGGUGAGGACAGGAGGUCUCCUCUAGGUGGUCCAGGUUUUCAGCAUUUUGUGUCUGACGCAAAUGAACCCAGUGGCGUAGCUUGACACAUUUGUGGCCCCCGACAAGGAGCAUACCAGAACACCCAAGUUAAGAAAAUGUCCUUCACUGCUACCACACGCAAACACAGCCGUCGUCAGAGUACGCACAGGUUUCCCUAAACAACCACCCAGGGAGAUCUCUACAGAUCCAGUUUCAGGUGGUAGAGAGCUGAGCAACAUAUUGCAGACAUCCCUCUUCCCUGCCUCAUCCACCAGCUACUCCUGGGGGUCCUGAGGGACUUCCAAGCCAGAUGGGAAAUGCAUUCCCUCCAGUGUCUCCUGGGUCUGGCCCUGGGUCUCCUGCCGAUUGGAAAUGCACAGAAUACCUCCACAGGGAAGCAAGAAGGAGGUCUACUAGUCACUUAGCCACUACUGGUUGUCUUCAGCAUGAAGCCUUACGAAUAAAAACAACCCCAAAGAAAGGAGAGGAAUUCUCCAACAACUUCAACUCUUUUCAACUGAAAAAGGAGGAGGGACAUUACACAUCAAAAGUCACAGCGCACCAUGCCAAGGCUCUCACCUUUGUCUGCUGCCUAUUGUCACUGACAAUACUAAAAACAAAGAAGUGCAAUAAAGGGUGUUAAUUUGCCCCUUUCUGCAUUUCCUAUAAUCGUAUAUUAUUUAUUUUUUUCUCUUUUAUUCAGGAUUGCACAAUUCACUGCGGCGACCACAGGCUUUGUUCUCAUAAUUAAGGAAGUGGACCAGUUCAGCCGUUACAAAGCCACAGAUAUAUUGCUCGAGUGUGGGAAUUAAAGCAUUUACCCUUUGUUUUGUGUAUGUAAUCAUAGCUCGUUAGCAGUGAAGAUCUAAAACACCGUAUGUAUGUAACAUGGAAGGAUUUUGUACAUAAAUUUCAGAUGGAUUUCUUUGUAACAUGAAUCCCUGUAUUUCUACCAUUCACACCAUAAAAGUUGCAAAGAAAAUGUUUUAUGAUCGCAGCUGUUCAAAUGUCAAGAGAGGUCAAAUAUUUUUUCACAGUACAGGUGUGUAAAAUGCCCACAAACACCAUUGCUCGAAUUGAUCUUCACGGAAAGUACGUCAUGCUCACUUAAGGGCACACUCAAGACUUUUGGAUGCAAACUUUAUCCUCCGUACUGUACCGUGCUCUGUGGCUGCAUUUCUGCAUGUACAUGCCUGUGGUUCUGUUCAUAUCAAACUGAAGCUUCAACACAUGCGUACUCAAGCUCACAUUCCACCCCAGAAGCAGCGAUUUAUCUCCAGGAGUUCACGCGCGGAGCUGUACAUGUGUAGGCACCACUGGACCUCCUCACAUCACCUCAAGCAAGCUUCCAUAGAUACAUGAUGGAUCAUUGAUGGAAACUGGGCAGGAAACUGUUGUGCUACAGAGUCAGCGCAUACUGUCCAAAAUUUACGUCACGCAGACCCUUGUGGACCUCUGUGGACACAGACUGUAUGACUUCAAUGUGAGCU